GAUGAACGCUGGCGGCAUGCCUUACACAUGCAAGUCGAACGGCAGCACGGGUGCUUGCACCUGGUGGCGAGUGGCGAACGGGUGAGUAAUACAUCGGAACGUACCUUAUCGUGGGGGAUAACGCAGCGAAAGCUGUGCUAAUACCGCAUACGCCCUGAGGGGGAAAGCGGGGGAUCGAAAGACCUCGCGCGAUUAGAGCGGCCGAUGCCUGAUUAGCUUGUUGGUGGGGUAAAAGCCCACCAAGGCGACGAUCAGUAGCUGGUCUGAGAGGACGAUCAGCCACACUGGGACUGAGACACGGCCCAGACUCCUACGGGAGGCAGCAGUGGGGAAUUUUGGACAAUGGGCGCAAGCCUGAUCCAGCAAUGCCGCGUGCAGGAAGAAGGGCCUUCGGGUUGUAAACUGCUUUGUACGGAACGAAAAGGACUCUGGUUAAUACCUGGGGCUCAUGACGGUACCGUAAGAUAAGCACCGGCUAACUACGUGCCAG
RNAcentral lists this ribosomal RNA (490 nucleotides) under uncultured bacterium. Its description in RNAcentral is "bacterial SSU rRNA". It matches the Rfam family "Bacterial small subunit ribosomal RNA", at positions 28 to 511 of the family's 1533-position model. The record is from RNAcentral.